GAUGAACGCUGGCGGCGUGCCUAACACAUGCAAGUCGAGCGAACCCUUCGGGGUGAGCGGCGGACGGGUGAGUAACGCGUGGGUAACCUGCCCUAUACACACGGAUAACGUACCGAAAGGUACGCUAAUACGGGAUAAAGUUGUUGGAUGGCAUCUUCUAACAAUCAAAGCUCCGGCGGUAUAGGAUGGACCCGCGUCUGAUUAGCUAGUUGGUGAGGUAAUGGCUCACCAAGGCGACGAUCAGUAGCCGACCUGAGAGGGUGAUCGGCCACACUGGAACUGAGACACGGUCCAGACUCCUACGGGAGGCAGCAGUGGGGAAUAUUGCACAAUGGGCGAAAGCCUGAUGCAGCAACGCCGCGUGAGCGAUGAAGGUCUUCGGAUCGUAAAGCUCUGUCCUCAAGGAAGAUAAUGACGGUACUUGAGGAGGAAGCCCCGGCUAACUACGUGCCAGCCGCCGCCGUAA
Molecule: ribosomal RNA, 466 nt
Filed under: uncultured bacterium
Lineage: Bacteria
Description: partial 16S ribosomal RNA
Rfam family: Bacterial small subunit ribosomal RNA
Source: RNAcentral